AGCCGGGGUUUCGUUUACCUAGAUACUGUCAUUAUCAUCUCUGGCGAAAGAGCUUUACGAUCCUAAGACCUUCUUCACUCACGCGGCAUGGCUGGAUCAGGCUUGCGCCCAUUGUCCAAGAUUCCCC
Molecule: ribosomal RNA, 127 nt
Filed under: uncultured bacterium
Lineage: Bacteria
Description: partial 16S ribosomal RNA
Source: RNAcentral